RNAcentral lists this ribosomal RNA (429 nucleotides) under Verrucomicrobiota bacterium. RNAcentral describes it as "Verrucomicrobia bacterium partial 16S ribosomal RNA". It matches the Rfam family "Bacterial small subunit ribosomal RNA", at positions 355 to 776 of the family's 1533-position model. Lineage: Bacteria; Pseudomonadati; Verrucomicrobiota. The record is from RNAcentral.
UGGGGAAUCUUCCGCAAUGGACGAAAGUCUGACGGAGCAACGCCGCGUGAGUGAUGACGGUCUUCGGAUUGUAAAGCUCUGUUAAUCGGGACGAAUGGUUUGUGUGCAAAUAGUGCAUAGACAUGACGGUACCGGAAUAGAAAGCCACGGCUAACUACGUGCCAGCAGCCGCGGUAAUACGUAAGGUCCGAGCGUUGUCCGGAAUCAUUGGGCGUAAAGGGUACGUAGGCGGAUAAGCAAGUUAGAAGUGAAAUCCUAUAGCUCAACUAUAGUAAGCUUUUAAAACUGCUCAUCUUGAGGUAUGGAAGGGAAAGUGGAAUUCCUAGUGUAGCGGUGAAAUGCGCAGAUAUUAGGAGGAAUACCGGUGGCGAAGGCGACUUUCUGGCCAUAUACUGACGCUGAGGUACGAAAGCGUGGGUAGCAAACAGG